This 717-nucleotide ribosomal RNA is filed under the name uncultured fungus. RNAcentral's name for it is "SSU rRNA". It matches the Rfam family "Eukaryotic small subunit ribosomal RNA", at positions 339 to 1060 of the family's 1831-position model. Lineage: Eukaryota; Fungi. The record is from RNAcentral.
GCCUACCAUGGUGGUAACGGGUAACGGGGUGUUAGGGCACGACACCGGAGAGGGAGCNNGAGAAACGGCUACCACAUCCAAGGAUGGCAGCAGGCGCGCAAAUUACCCAAUCCCGACACGGGGAGGUAGUGACAAUAAAUAACAAUACGGGGUUCUUUAGGAUCUCGUAAUUGGAAUGAGUACAAUUUAAAUCUCUUAACGAGGAACAAUUGGAGGGCAAGUCUGGUGCCAGCAGCCGCGGUAAUUCCAGCUCCAAUAGCGUAUAUUAAAGUUGUUGCAGUUAAAAAGCUCGUAGUUGAAUUUCGGGGUUAGUAGGUUGGUCAUGCCUCUGGUAUGUACUGGUCUCACUGAUUCCUCCUUCCUUAUGAACCGUAAUGCCAUUAAUUUGGUGUUGCGGGGAAUUUGGACUGUUACUUUGAAAAAAUUAGAGUGUUUAAAGCAAGCUAACGCUUGAAUACAUUAGCAUGGAAUAAUGAAAUAGGACGUUCGAUCUUAUUUUGUUGGUUUCUAGGAUUGACGUAAUGAUUAAUAGGGAUAGUUGGGGGCAUUAGUAUUCAAUUGUCAGAGGUGAAAUUCUUGGAUUUAUUGAAGACUAACUACUGCGAAAGCAUUUGCCAAGGAUGUUUUCAUUAAUCAAGAACGAAAGUUAGGGGAUCGAAGACGAUCAGAUACCGUCGUAGUCUUAACCAUAAACUAUGCCGACUAGGGAUCGGAUGA